This 351-nucleotide ribosomal RNA is filed under the name uncultured bacterium. RNAcentral describes it as "bacterial SSU rRNA". It matches the Rfam family "Bacterial small subunit ribosomal RNA", at positions 917 to 1269 of the family's 1533-position model. The record is from RNAcentral.
GGGCCCGCACAAGCGGUGGAGCAUGUGGUUUAAUUCGAUGCAACGCGAAGAACCUUACCAGGCCUUGACAUCCCCGGAACUUUCUAGAGAUAGAUUGGUGCCUUCGGGAACGCAGUGACAGGUGCUGCAUGGCUGUCGUCAGCUCGUGUCGUGAGAUGUUGGGUUAAGUCCCGCAACGAGCGCAACCCACGUCUUUAGUUGCCAGCAUUUAGUUGGGCACUCUAGAGAGACCGCCGGUGAUAAACCGGAGGAAGGUGUGGAUGACGUCAAGUCAUCAUGCCCCUUACAUCCUGGGCUACACACGUACUACAAUGCUACGGACAAAGGGCAGCAAGUUCGCGAGGACAAGCA